RNAcentral lists this ribosomal RNA (94 nucleotides) under Stegastes rectifraenum (Cortez damselfish). Its description in RNAcentral is "partial 16S ribosomal RNA". The record is from RNAcentral. Lineage: Eukaryota; Metazoa; Chordata; Actinopteri; Pomacentridae.
CACCUAAUAGCUAGCUCACCCACAUAAAACCAACACAACUAUAUGUAUAACCCCUAAUACACAACAUCCUAAAAAAUAAAACAUUUUUCCUCCC